UACAGAGGGGGCAAGCGUUGUUCGGAAUUACUGGGCGUAAAGGGCGCGUAGGCGGCCCGCUAAGUCGAACGUGAAAUCCCCGAGCUCAACUCGGGAACUGCGUCCGAUACUGGCGGGCUUGAAUCCGGGAGAGGGAUGCGGAAUUCCAGGUGUAGCGGUGAAAUGCGUAGAUAUCAGGAGGAACACCGGUGGCGAAGGCGGGUCUCUGGGCCGAUACUGACGCUGAGGAGCGAAAGCGUGGGGAGCGAACAGG
RNAcentral lists this ribosomal RNA (253 nucleotides) under uncultured bacterium. RNAcentral describes it as "partial 16S ribosomal RNA". It matches the Rfam family "Bacterial small subunit ribosomal RNA", at positions 524 to 776 of the family's 1533-position model. The record is from RNAcentral.